Molecule: small RNA, 899 nt
Filed under: Pongo abelii (Sumatran orangutan)
Lineage: Eukaryota; Metazoa; Chordata; Mammalia; Primates; Hominidae
Description: retained intron
Source: RNAcentral
AGGUUGCAUUGUUAACUGUAGGAAAAAAUGAACUUGCUCUUCAUGCAGCAGAGAUUUUUUUCCGUAUAUAUGUAAUAGAAAUAGGAUGGUAGUCACUUGAGGACUGGUGUUUUUUUUCUCUUGCAGAAACAGUCCAACUCUUACGAUAUGUUCAUGAGAGGAGAAGAAAUAUUGUCAGGAGCUCAAAGAAUACAUGAUCCUCAGCUGCUAACAGAGAGAGCUUUACAUCAUGGAAUUGAUUUGGAGAAAAUUAAGGCUUACAUUGAUUCCUUUCGCUUUGGAGCCCCUCCUCAUGCUGGUGGAGGCAUUGGAUUGGAACGAGUUACUAUGCUGUUUCUGGGAUUGCAUAAUGUUCGUCAGACCUCCAUGUUCCCUCGUGAUCCCAAACGACUCACUCCUUAAAUUCACACUUUGCCACUUAACUCCAGUGUGGAUGACAGAGCAAGACCCUGCCUCAAAAAAAAAAAAAAAAAAAAAAAAAAAAAGCCACACUUAUUCUUUUCAGUAACCUGCUAGUGCAUAGGCUGUACUUUAGGUACUUAAAAUAUGCACUAGAAUAAAUUUGCAAGGCCCUAAAGUAUCACUGUUAUUUUUGGAGUAAUUCAGUGUAGGUUCAUUUAAAAGAGAUUUUUAUAACUUCAGAUAUGCAUCAGUAGGAAAUACUUGAGAAAUUCAUAUGGUUAUGUUAAAAAUUCAUAUUCUGUUACUACAGUAAACGUUAAGAGUUUUAAACAGUUAAGAUUGUACAAUUUUUUUUCUUUUCUAUAUUACAAGGGCCCCAGUGUUAAUGUCUUAGAUUUUCAGUAUUUGAACUUAUUUUUUUAAAUUCUGACAUUGGGAUAAGAAUAAUUCAGGUAGCAUCUGAAAUUUUAAUGAAUGUAUAAUUGGCAUAUCAUGGA